UACGGGGGGGGCAAGCGUUGUUCGGAAUUACUGGGCGUAAAGGGCUCGUAGGCGGCCAACUAAGUCGGAUGUGAAAUCCCCAGGCUCAACCUGGGAACUGCAUCCGAUACUGGAUGGCUUGAAUCCGGGAGAGGGAUGCAGAAUUCCAGGUGUAGCGGUGAAAUGCGUAGAGAUGCGGCGGAACACCGAUGGCGAAGGCAGCCCCCUGGGCUGAGAUUGACGCUCAGGCACGAAAGCGUGGGGAGCAAACAGG
RNAcentral lists this ribosomal RNA (253 nucleotides) under uncultured bacterium. RNAcentral's name for it is "partial 16S ribosomal RNA". It matches the Rfam family "Bacterial small subunit ribosomal RNA", at positions 524 to 776 of the family's 1533-position model. The record is from RNAcentral.